RNAcentral lists this ribosomal RNA (508 nucleotides) under Candida albicans. Its description in RNAcentral is "eukaryotic LSU rRNA". The stretch from base 141 to 294 matches the Rfam family "5.8S ribosomal RNA". The record is from RNAcentral. Lineage: Eukaryota; Fungi; Ascomycota; Pichiomycetes; Serinales; Debaryomycetaceae.
UUAUUUAUUGCUUAUUGCACCACAUGUGUUUUUCUUUGAAACAAACUUGCUUUGGCGGUGGGCCCAGCCUGCCGCCAGAGGUCUAAACUUGCAACCAAUUUUUUAUCAACUUGUCACACCAGAUUAUUACUAAUAGUCAAAACUUUCAACAACGGAUCUCUUGGUUCUCGCAUCGAUGAAGAACGCAGCGAAAUGCGAUACGUAAUAUGAAUUGCAGAUAUUCGUGAAUCAUCGAAUUUUUGAACGCACAUUGCGCCCUCUGGUAUUCCGGAGGGCAUGCCUGUUUGAGCGUCGUUUCUCCCUCAAACCGCUGGGUUUGGUGUUGAGCAAUACGACUUGGGUUUGCUUGAAAGACGGUAGUGGUAAGGCGGGAUCGCUUUGACAAUGGCUUAGGUCUAACCAAAAACAUUGCUUGCGGCGGUAACGUCUACCACGUAUAUCUUCAAACUUUGACCUCAAAUCAGGUAGGACUACCCGCUGAACUUAAGCAUAUCAAUAAGCGGAGGAA